CCUCCUGAGUGCGAGGAUUACAGGCAUGUGCCACCACGCCCUGCUGAACUCGUAUAUAAAGAGCUCUGAGAGAGGUAUGGGAGAGCCCUUGGGUGGAAAUGGAAGUUAUCUCUAAACUGUCACUAAUCCACCUACAACAGUAGCGAAGCAAGUGUUGUAGCUCCUCUCCCCGCCCUGCUCCCACGGCUUUGAAGUGCUAUCUUUCCUGCUCAAAUGUGAGAAGGUGAGUGUGUCAUAUUUGGGGUGGGCAGGAGGCAGCCACCUCUUGCAUCUCCUUCAGAACCUGUGCAUAUGUUACCUUAGAUGGCAAAAGGGACCUUGCCGAGUGAUGGGAGAUUUUUUGAUGGAGAGAGUGUCCUGGGUUAUACAGGUGGGCCCUACGUAAUCAUCUAGAUCCUCUGAGGAAGGAUGUGGGAAACUUGGAGUGAGUAGUAGGAGAUAGGAUGAUGGAAGCAAGAGAUGGGAGAGAUGGAAAGCAGGAGCUGUGAGGCAGGAAAUGGGGGCAGCUUCUAAGAGCUGGUAAAAGUGAGACAAGGGAUUCACCCUGUGAUGGGGAUGUAGAGAUAGUAGUGAUUUUCAUUUCUCAUUCUUGGGAUUUCUUCAUUCUCAAAUGAAAAUUCACUAGCUCCAUCCCUAUUCAUCUCUGACUGGAGGCCAAUUUGAUCAUAUUCUAUUUAUUUUUUACCUGUCAAGAGAACCUAGAAUUUUUCUGUUGUAGGAAACAGCCUAUGACCUUGGACCUGAUCAAGGGGUGACAAGAAUGAAAAAUAAAGAGACACAGAAUCAGAUUAAAAUCUGGAGGGCCGGGGGCUCAUGUCUCCCUUCAACAUAAAGCCCCAAGUGACUGGCACAACUUGGCUUUAUUCACUCAGAAAUUGGCACGAGCAAUUAGAGUUACACAGGAUUCAUCUGUCUUCCUCCCUCCAUGGUACUUGUCUGGGUAAACAACAGGUUCUCAGGUGUUUUUAUUUUUGCAUGGAUUGUGUCAGUACACUUGCAUGCCCCCUUUCUUCUUAGUGCUCACCGAGGAGGCCAAUUAGGCCUCAUUCUUCUCAUCUGGUCUCCCACAGUCUAUGGCCUGUCAGUUUAGCCCCGCCUAGUCAUCACACCUAUGGCAUCUUCCUUUACACUUACUUUGCAGUUUUUAAAAACAUGUUCAAGUUGGGAGUGGUGGUGCAUGCCUGUAAUCUCAACACUCCAGGCUGAAGCAAAAAGACUCCCCAGAGUUCAAGGCAUGGACUACAUGAUGAAUUCAAGGCCAGCCUGACCUACAUUGUGAGACCCUGUCUCAAAAAAAAAAAAAAAACAACCCAAUAAAUAAAUAAAAAGUGAGAAAUAAAUAAAACAUGCCCACAAAUUCUUUGACCUUAGUGACUCAUAGAAUGUAGUGAAAGUAAGGCUGCUUAACUUAGAAGACCAGGUCAGCAAAGGUUAGGUAGCUUCUGACUCAUCAUCAUCCUGAGAUGCUUGUCCAGGAGGAAGCCGGCUACCACACAAGAAACCCAACUACUCUGAGAUUCCCACUUGCUGGAGAGCCCACAUAGGUACCUUAUUUACAGCCACAACUGAUCUGAGCCACCAAGAAUCAGAAGCCUGAUGGCAAGAGAAGCAUCUUGGCAUCCAGUCCUGCCUGUCCUUCAGGUGAAUUCUGGGCAAUGGCUCGAGAGACAGUGAGAACUGGCCAUUUCCCAAGGCCCUGACCCAAACAGCUGUGAACAAACUAAAUGGUUUUUAAAUCACCAGAGUUUUGAGUAACUUACACAACCCUAGUGACUAAAAUAACCUUUCGUCUACCUUUAAGCGCACUGUAGGUACUAUGGUUCCAAGGACAAAGACAUGUCUCAGCUCCAUGCAAAUGUUGCACGGGUAUACCUGUUUACCGUAGCUAGAGUGGAUCCCUGUUCUUUUGUCUUCAUAGGCUUUUAUUCAGUCUUUGGCGUAAAUAACAAUUAUUUCAUUUGAGAAAAUGUUUCCCACUAUUCCCGUCUCCCUUGCCAACCAUAUGUUUCUAGCCAGAGCUGCUGUGUUCCUAUUUGCCGCUUCCCACACCUACGUAGGAAUGAAGGCACCUCUAGGAGCUGAAAAAGUGAGGAAAUAAAUUAUUUCCUAGAGCCUUCACAAGGAAUCAACCUGUCAACACAUUAUAUUCUGCUGAACUUUGGCAUCUCUGUAACUGUAAGAGAAUACAUAUGUGUUUUUUGUUUUUGCAGUGUUGAGGAUUUGUGAAAGAAUAUAUUUGUGUUUGUGUUUGUUUUGUGGUGCUAAAGAUUGAAUACUGGAACUUGAGGAUGCAAGGCAAACACUACCACUGAGUUAUAUACCUUGUCUCAUUUGUGUUUUGAGCCGUGAAGUAGGUGAGGCAGAAAAAAUAGAAAAUUAGUGUACCCUGAACACUUCCUGGUUCUUUCUAAUACCUUCUUGUUUAUGUAUAAACCAGCCCAAGAAAUAUUGCUGUCAUUUGCUACCAAAACAAUGCUUUCAGUGCUCACUUUGGCAGCACACACACUAAAACAGUCCUUUUAAAACAACAGCACAUAGAGUUAGCCCUCCUUAUCCACUGCUUCUGUAUCCAUGAGUUCAAACAAUAGUGGACUGGAAAAAAUUUUUUAAUUACAUCUCUUUUGAAUAUAUAAAAUAUUUUUCCUUGUUAUCAUCCCCUAAGCAAACAGUAUAAUAACUAUUUAAUAACAUCUGCUUUUUACUAGAUGUUUAAAUAACCUAGAGAUGGUGUAAAGUCUGAAGGAGGAUGUGUAAAAGUUAUAUGCAAACACUACAUCAUUUUUACACAAUAUCUUUUCUGUCUCUUCCAUUCUGGUCCACAGAGCCCUGAUAAGCAUUGGUCACAGUCACUGUUGACUGAGAACUUUUUUUUUUUUGGACCUGGGAUUGAACUCAGGACCUUGAGCUUGCAGGGCAGGCUCAUUGUCACUAAGCUAAAUCCCCAGCUCUUGACUGAGAACUGAGGGGACAGUGUGAGGGUGACAAUUUUAUUUUUAAAAUCAUAAUUUAAAGAAAGGUUCACACUCUGAGAGCCUGUGGACGCUUAUCCAAUUUCAGCUUUUCCUACAAAGUCCUACCCAGAAAAGAAUUCAAAUUAGCAAAUCUUUUAUUUUUUUUCUUUUCUUCUUUACUGUGGUCAACUGUAUAUAUCAUAAUACUUAUCAUUUCAACACCUUCUGUGCGUAGUUCUGUAGCAGUAAGUCCAUUCAUAUUGUUGUGUAGCCAUCUGUACCAUCCAUCUCUGGAAUUUCUCAUCUUUCCAAGCUAAAAUCUACUGGACACUAACUCCCCACUGUCCCCUCCUUCUGACCCUGGUAGCAACUCUUUCUUGAAAAAGGAUAUACUAUUUCCUAAAAUUAAAAAAAAAACAAAAACCAAACAUUUUACUUCCUGUCAAAGGCAAACAUAGCCAGGCUCUCAGGCUAUCUUUGAAUCUUUGAAUCAUUACUAAGCAAAAUAAAAGCAAACUUUCAAAGCAAGCCUCCCCCUAACCUUCAAGAAAAGUCACAACUUUGACUUCAUGCUGUGUUCACCAACCGCACAUGAGGUUUCCUGUGUGAAUAAGAUGCAGGGAUACGCAUCUCCACUGUAGGCCAGAGGACAUGUGACGUGGAAUCAGGUCAUGCCUGUUGUGGAGGUUGAUGAGGGCCCCUUUGGGUCUCAGUGGACCCAAAGUCAGAGUUAGACUUUUGUAGGUCUAGAGGCCUAUGCAGUUAGUAUUAAAAGUUAGUUUUCAAUAAAACGUGAAAUCAUCAAGCUCAUACUGGUAUAAAAAUUAACACCUGUAAAAUAUAUUGUUUUAGUCAGUAACUGAAGAGGGAUGAGACAUAUGUCAUAUUAGGUUUAAAAGAAAACCCAAAGGCCAGACAACAUUUAUAGAUGAGAAGAUGGAGCCUCAUGGAAACAAGUUAGGUCACUGGGGUAUGCACUUGCAGGGGAUAUUGGCACUGGCCCUUCCUCUUUUUCUAUCUUUUCUUCCCAACUCCCAUGAGGUGAGCAGCUCCCUCUACCACGUGCUCUCACCAUGAAGUACUGCUUCACCACAGGCCCCAAAACAGCAAGGCCUAGCAAGGCUGAAACCUUUGAAAUGAGGCUAAAACAAAUCUUUCUUAUUAAAAGUGGGUGGUCUCUGGUAUUCUGUCACAAUGACUGGCAUGAUUUAAGUCUAAAAUGUCCCCCCAAGUCUUGUGUUCAAAGGUGGGACCUAGUUAGAAGAGGCAUCACACUUAAUGCUGAAAUACUGAAUGUCUGCUUGCCCUAUUUGUAUUCACCAUUGUACUGAAAGUACUAAAUAAGACAAUAAAGCAGAGGAAGAGAAUAAAAGGAAUCCAGGUUGGAAAGAAAAAGCAAAACUAUAUGCAAAGAAGAUACGGCUGUCUGUCUGUGGGAGAUUCUAUAGAAAAGAUCAAAUAAUUGAUGGACAGUCAAAGAAUUGCUCGGAGAUCUGGAGAACUAAGUUGGAGUUUUCAGGGUAAGAACAACAACUAACACCAUGUCCUAGAAUUGAUCAUCUGAUGAGGACGCCUCUGCUGCCAGUCCAAAAAUGUAGGCAGAUGCCACAGUCCUGGGAAUGGGCGACCACCAGACGCACUGUUGCUCCUAUUGCCACCAUCUUCACCAUUGCCAGGGAGGGUUCUCCAUUGCCUCUGUUUAUUCUCACCUCUGGAUUUAAAAUUCAGGACACUACCUUUAAUUGGCUGCACUUAGCCCAUGUGCUUAAUCCUAUUUGCAAAGAAGACUGGGAAAUGGCUGAAUAAAGAUCGCUGAGAAUAUUCUUCAUAUCAACAGAAAGCUAGAAAAAAUCAUCAAAAUCAACUUUUUCAAAACUCUGAAAAUUAACCAGAGCCUCACAAAAAUCUGAGGAGUAUUUCCUUCAGGAAAAAGAGCAGUGAGUAUCUAGGUAAGAGCAGAAAUCUUUGUGCUGUUUAGAUCCCCCUCUCACUAGCUUUACAUCUUGAAAUCUAUAAAAACCAGCAUUCACUUGAAGGGACAGAGAAUUGUGAAACUCCCUCCAAUUCCUAAUGUAGAGAAUUGUCUCUGUUUUAUCUUUCUGAGAGAUCCCUGGAAAUCUCCACACCUAGUGUGUCUAUUUACUUAAACUGACUCAUAGUUCACCCAUGCAGACUUGGGAAGAGCAGGAAACUUGUUUUAAAAAAAUCAGCUGCAAUUGUUUAAUGUCAUGCUACCUGAGGUGAUUAUACUAUAUGGGACUGAGACAAAGCAGACCAAAGAACUUGAAAGCUGGUGAAUGUGAUGUUUGUACAGCCUUUGAUAUUCUCUUAUUCUCUCCCUCUCUCUCCCUCCCUGCCUAUCUUUUUUGAGACAUACUCUUGCUAUGU
This is a long non-coding RNA of Fukomys damarensis (Damara mole-rat), 5339 nucleotides long. RefSeq lists it as uncharacterized. The transcript is spliced from 3 exons. The record is from RefSeq and is a predicted model, not a curated record. Lineage: Eukaryota; Metazoa; Chordata; Mammalia; Rodentia; Bathyergidae.